Molecule: long non-coding RNA, 265 nt
Filed under: Anas zonorhyncha (Eastern spot-billed duck)
Lineage: Eukaryota; Metazoa; Chordata; Aves; Anseriformes; Anatidae
Description: lncRNA (ENSAZOG00000016474.1)
Source: RNAcentral
UUUAUUAAUUGGCUUACCAUUAUUUUGCAUGUGAUUCUUCCCAUUUCACUACCAAAUUUCAGAAGUUGUGGCUCCACUGAAGUCAAAAUCCUGUUGGACAUAGGAGAGAGAAAGUCAAGUCUCAGUGGUUCUUAAUGAGUCCUGAAUGAGAGGUACAGAAUAUUCAUGACCAUCACUCUGCUUUUAAUUCAGAAGAUGAACACUGAUGUGUUGUCCUUGAAUGGGAAUAAAAUUAAGGAGAACAUGUGUGCAGAAGUCUUAUUUU